Molecule: ribosomal RNA, 1675 nt
Filed under: Klebsiella pneumoniae
Lineage: Bacteria; Pseudomonadati; Pseudomonadota; Gammaproteobacteria; Enterobacterales; Enterobacteriaceae
Description: partial 23S ribosomal RNA
Rfam family: Bacterial large subunit ribosomal RNA
Source: RNAcentral
UGCUGGAGGUAUCAGAAGUGCGAAUGCUGACAUAAGUAACGAUAAAGCGGGUGAAAAGCCCGCUCGCCGGAAGACCAAGGGUUCCUGUCCAACGUUAAUCGGGGCAGGGUGAGUCGACCCCUAAGGCGAGGCCGAAAGGCGUAGUCGAUGGGAAACAGGUUAAUAUUCCUGUACUUGGUGUUACUGCGAAGGGGGGACGGAGAAGGCUAUGUUAGCCGGGCGACGGUUGUCCCGGUUUAAGCAUGUAGGCUGGUUGUCCAGGCAAAUCCGGAUAAUCAAGGCUGAGGUGUGAUGACGAGGCACUACGGUGCUGAAGUAACAAAUGCCCUGCUUCCAGGAAAAGCCUCUAAGCAUCAGGUAACAUUAAAUCGUACCCCAAACCGACACAGGUGGUCAGGUAGAGAAUACCAAGGCGCUUGAGAGAACUCGGGUGAAGGAACUAGGCAAAAUGGUGCCGUAACUUCGGGAGAAGGCACGCUGGUGUGUAGGUGAAGUCCCUGCGGAUGGAGCUGAGACCAGUCGAAGAUACCAGCUGGCUGCAACUGUUUAUUAAAAACACAGCACUGUGCAAACACGAAAGUGGACGUAUACGGUGUGACGCCUGCCCGGUGCCGGAAGGUUAAUUGAUGGGGUUAUCCGUAAGGAGAAGCUCUUGAUCGAAGCCCCGGUAAACGGCGGCCGUAACUAUAACGGUCCUAAGGUAGCGAAAUUCCUUGUCGGGUAAGUUCCGACCUGCACGAAUGGCGUAAUGAUGGCCAGGCUGUCUCCACCCGAGACUCAGUGAAAUUGAACUCGCUGUGAAGAUGCAGUGUACCCGCGGCAAGACGGAAAGACCCCGUGAACCUUUACUAUAGCUUGACACUGAACAUUGAGCCUUGAUGUGUAGGAUAGGUGGGAGGCUUUGAAGCGUGGACGCCAGUCUGCGUGGAGCCAACCUUGAAAUACCACCCUUUAAUGUUUGAUGUUCUAACGUUGGCCCCUGACCGGGGUUGCGGACAGUGUCUGGUGGGUAGUUUGACUGGGGCGGUCUCCUCCCAAAGCGUAACGGAGGAGCACGAAGGUUAGCUAAUCCUGGUCGGACAUCAGGAGGUUAGUGCAAUGGCAUAAGCUAGCUUGACUGCGAGCGUGACGGCGCGAGCAGGUGCGAAAGCAGGUCAUAGUGAUCCGGUGGUUCUGAAUGGAAGGGCCAUCGCUCAACGGAUAAAAGGUACUCCGGGGAUAACAGGCUGAUACCGCCCAAGAGUUCAUAUCGACGGCGGUGUUUGGCACCUCGAUGUCGGCUCAUCACAUCCUGGGGCUGAAGUAGGUCCCAAGGGUAUGGCUGUUCGCCAUUUAAAGUGGUACGCGAGCUGGGUUUAGAACGUCGUGAGACAGUUCGGUCCCUAUCUGCCGUGGGCGCUGGAGAAUUGAGGGGGGCUGCUCCUAGUACGAGAGGACCGGAGUGGACGCAUCACUGGUGUUCGGGUUGUCAUGCCAAUGGCACUGCCCGGUAGCUAAAUGCGGAAGAGAUAAGUGCUGAAAGCAUCUAAGCACGAAACUUGCCCCGAGAUGAGUUCUCCCUGAGACUUUAAGUCUCCUGAAGGAACGUUAAAGACGAUGACGUUGAUAGGCCGGGUGUGUAAGCGCAGCGAUGCGUUGAGCUAACCGGUACUAAUGAACCGUGAGGCUUAACCUU